AUUGAACGCUGGCGGCAGGCUUAACACAUGCAAGUCGAGCGGAGAUGAGGUGCUUGCACCUUAUCUUAGCGGCGGACGGGUGAGUAAUGCUUAGGAAUCUGCCUAUUAGUGGGGGACAACAUUCCGAAAGGAAUGCUAAUACCGCAUACGUCCUACGGGAGAAAGCAGGGGAUCUUCGGACCUUGCGCUAAUAGAUGAGCCUAAGUCGGAUUAGCUAGUUGGUGGGGUAAAGGCCUACCAAGGCGACGAUCUGUAGCGGGUCUGAGAGGAUGGUCCGCCACACUGGGACUGAGAACCGGCCCAGACUCCUACGGGAGGCAGCAGUGGGGAAUAUUGGACAAUGGGGGGAACCCUGAUCCAGCCAUGCCGCGUGUGUGAAGAAGGCCUUAUGGUUGUAAAGCACUUUAAGCGAGGAGGAGGCUACUGAGACUAAUACUCUUGGAUAGUGGACGUUACUCGCAGAAUAAGCACCGGCUAACUCUGUGCCAGCAGCCGCCGUAA
This 501-nucleotide ribosomal RNA is filed under the name uncultured bacterium. Its description in RNAcentral is "partial 16S ribosomal RNA". It matches the Rfam family "Bacterial small subunit ribosomal RNA", at positions 30 to 523 of the family's 1533-position model. The record is from RNAcentral.